This 253-nucleotide ribosomal RNA is filed under the name uncultured bacterium. RNAcentral's name for it is "partial 16S ribosomal RNA". It matches the Rfam family "Bacterial small subunit ribosomal RNA", at positions 524 to 776 of the family's 1533-position model. The record is from RNAcentral.
UACGAAGGGGGCUAGCGUUGUUCGGAUUUACUGGGCGUAAAGCGCGUGUAGGCGGGCAUCUAAGUCGGGGUGUGAAAUCCCUGGGCUCAACCUAGGAACUGCACUCGAAACUGGAUACCUGGAGUGAUGGAGAGGAGAGCGGAAUUCCCGGUGUAGAGGUGAAAUUCGUAGAUAUCGGGAGGAACACCAGUGGCGAAGGCAGCUCACUAAACUGUAACUGACGCUGAGGCACGAAAGCGUGGGGACAAACAGG